Molecule: non-coding RNA, 108 nt
Organism: Xylariaceae sp. FL0255
Lineage: Eukaryota; Fungi; Ascomycota; Sordariomycetes; Xylariales; Xylariaceae
Source: the annotation of a GenBank genome assembly
GUCAGUUUGGCCGAGUGGUUAAGGCGCCGUGUUUAGGUAAAAUAUUCCUGCGAUAUUACCAUAAACCCGCGGUGGGAAACCGCGCAGGUUCGAAUCCUGCAGCUGACA